AACCAACAGCCUUUGGGGAGCAACACCUGCAGUUACAUUCAAAGGCAUGACUUUUCCAAGCAGUUUGUGAGCUGGCCGGCAUUGUCCCCAAAAGGAUAAAGGCCUAGGUUCUUUACCUGACUGGCAGAAGCAUUCCAGCACCACGAAAGGACUCUAAACAUUGUUUUCUUCAACAAAGAUUCCCAGAGUCGUGGGCCAUACUCUUAACACUGAAGUGCAUAGAACUUGGCAGAAAUCUACACUUCAGAGAUAAUAACAUAUCAUUCCAUGAAAUAAAGGAAAAGGCAUAAUCAAAAAAAGAAGUUAAAUAUGGAAACCUGUUUUGACAACAAAUGAAUGCAGUUGAAGCCAGACAGGAAAGGUGCUAUGUAUGCAUUUUUUUACAUGUUUCACAUAAAUUAUGAUAUUGCAAGACCCUAUCAGGUUUUUUUUUCUUAUUUUCAUGUCCUUUCAGUCAGAUGUAUUAUUUAUAUUGCUCUCCAUCUUACAUUAAAGGAAAAUUUCAAAGACUGCUGCUUUAAAAUAACAGAACAACACUUGUAAAAUCUGUCAACAUUAUAUAUGGCUCAUUCACCAGUUGCAUUUCAUUCAUUAUUAUAGUUGGGAAUUUCUCAAGGCCACUUGGAUGUCCAAUGAAAUAAAUUUAGAAUUUCUGAAUGUUGAGAAAAGGAAAAGAGAAAACAGUGUUGGUACUUAGUAGACGGAUUAUGGACAUCACCAGCAGAAACAUAUAUUCAACAAUCAUAUUUAGUUAAUAAAUAUAUUUACUGAGUUAUAAAAAGUUUCCUUAAAAUGUACACUAGGUGAAAUAUCAAGUUUCAUCAAAUGAUUAAUUAAAUGUUAUAUAAGGAACAUGUCCUGAAUUUGUGGUUACUAAAAUAAAAAUAAAACAUGUUUU
Molecule: long non-coding RNA, 898 nt
Filed under: Homo sapiens (human)
Lineage: Eukaryota; Metazoa; Chordata; Mammalia; Primates; Hominidae
Description: HSALNT0209040
Source: RNAcentral